This 415-nucleotide ribosomal RNA is filed under the name uncultured bacterium. RNAcentral describes it as "bacterial SSU rRNA". It matches the Rfam family "Bacterial small subunit ribosomal RNA", at positions 945 to 1359 of the family's 1533-position model. The record is from RNAcentral.
UUUAAUUCGAAGCAACGCGAAGAACCUUACCAAAUCUUGACAUCCUUUGAUCGCUCUAGAGAUAGAGUUUUCCCCUUCGGGGGACAAAGUGACAGGUGGUGCAUGGUUGUCGUCAGCUCGUGUCGUGAGAUGUUGAGUUAAGUCCCGCAACGAGCGCAACCCUUAAGCUUAGUUGCCAUCAUUAAGUUGGGCACUCUAGGUUGACUGCCGGUGACAAACCGGAGGAAGGUGGGGAUGACGUCAAAUCAUCAUGCCCCUUAUGAUUUGGGCUACACACGUGCUACAAUGGAUAAUACAAAGGGCAGCGAACCCGCGAGGUCAAGCAAAUCCCAUAAAAUUAUUCUCAGUUCGGAUUGUAGUCUGCAACUCGACUACAUGAAGCUGGAAUCGCUAGUAAUCGUAGAUCAGCAUGCUA